GAGGUAUUAGUAAAAAUUACAUGCUUUGUCAAAGUUAAAGCGUAGGUUCAAAUCCUUUACGUCUCU
RNAcentral lists this transfer RNA (66 nucleotides) under Camelus bactrianus (Bactrian camel). It matches the Rfam family "tRNA". Rfam says of the family: Transfer RNA (tRNA) molecules are approximately 80 nucleotides in length. Their secondary structure includes four short double-helical elements and three loops (D, anti-codon, and T loops). Further hydrogen bonds mediate the characteristic L-shaped molecular structure. tRNAs have two regions of fundamental functional importance: the anti-codon, which is responsible for specific mRNA codon recognition, and the 3' end, to which the tRNAs corresponding amino acid is attached (by aminoacyl-tRNA synthetases). tRNAs cope with the degeneracy of the genetic code in two manners: having more than one tRNA (with a specific anti-codon) for a particular amino acid; and 'wobble' base-pairing, i.e. permitting non-standard base-pairing at the 3rd anti-codon position. Lineage: Eukaryota; Metazoa; Chordata; Mammalia; Artiodactyla; Camelidae. RNAcentral also lists the same sequence under 2 other names. The record is from Rfam by way of RNAcentral.